This 76-nucleotide microRNA precursor is filed under the name Schistosoma curassoni. RNAcentral describes it as "mir-3492 microRNA precursor family". It matches the Rfam family "mir-3492 microRNA precursor family". Lineage: Eukaryota; Metazoa; Platyhelminthes; Trematoda; Strigeidida; Schistosomatidae. The record is from Rfam by way of RNAcentral.
AUCCUUAUGAAUCCGUGACGAGAUUUCCUCGGACACCACACCAUCAGUAUUGAUGAGACUCAAGAUAAGUGGAGCG